UGGGGAAUUUUGGACAAUGGGGGAAACCCGGAUCCAGCCAUCCCGCGUGUGCGAUGAAGGCCUUCGGGUUGUAAAGCACUUUUGGCAGGAAAGAAACGUCAUGGGUUAAUACCCCAUGAAACUGACGGUACCUGCAGAAUAAGCACCGGCUAACUACGUGCCAGCAGCCGCGGUAAUACGUAGGGUGCAAGCGUUAAUCGGAAUUACUGGGCGUAAAGCGUGCGCAGGCGGUUCGGAAAGAAAGAUGUGAAAUCCCAGAGCUCAACUUUGGAACUGCAUUUUUAACUACCGGGCUAGAGUGUGUCAGAGGGAGGUGGAAUUCCGCGUGUAGCAGUGACAUGCGUAGAUAUGCGGAGGAACACCGAUGGCGAAGGCAGCCUCCUGGGAUAACACUGACGCUCAUGCACGAAAGCGUGGGGAGCAAACAGG
This 429-nucleotide ribosomal RNA is filed under the name Acidobacteriota bacterium. RNAcentral's name for it is "Acidobacteria bacterium partial 16S ribosomal RNA". It matches the Rfam family "Bacterial small subunit ribosomal RNA", at positions 355 to 776 of the family's 1533-position model. Lineage: Bacteria; Pseudomonadati; Acidobacteriota. The record is from RNAcentral.